This 3017-nucleotide long non-coding RNA is filed under the name Prunus persica (peach). RNAcentral's name for it is "long non-coding RNA (PPER_LNC002882)". The record is from RNAcentral. Lineage: Eukaryota; Viridiplantae; Streptophyta; Magnoliopsida; Rosales; Rosaceae.
UUGAGUUAUAUUUUGACUUUUGGUCCUUUUUUUUUUUUUUUGAGGUCCUUUCCUAUUGAAAGGGGCGAUAGCAUAUUAAACUCACACACACAACACGGAUGCUAGGACUCGAACCCAGGACCUUGCCCGAGGGAGUAAAUACUCCAAACCACUACACUAGUGGGUCCUUUGCGACUUUUGGUCCUUUGAUGUAUUAAGAUAUAAUUCCUCAGAAAUUGUGUGAUCAACAUGUUGAUAGUGUGUGUUACACAUAAAAUGUGCAUGAACUUCCUUGUUUCUGAGAUUAAAUAAGACACUCAUUUGAAGUGAUCUCUCAUAUGCCUUAUAUGUAAAUGCAUUUCCUAGUUUCAUCAGGUGGAGUAGAUCUGUUAAUGGCCUCUUUUGUUUCUGGUGGUUUCUAGGUCUAAAUACAAUCUGUUAAAAUCAAGACUAGACUAGAAAACGCAGGGAUGCAAUCAUUGUAUGUAUGCCAAAAAGAACCAGAAGUUGUUUUGAGAUCUCCUUAUUCGCUGUCUGUUAGUAAUACGGAUCACAGUCCUUUGAUCAUGGAAUUAAAUAUCUUUUUUGUUUUAUAUAAUGAUUGUAUGACAACUAUAUGAAAAUAAUUAAUCACAGACCUUUACCACUUAAAUCAUUGUAGGAUAUAAUCAAUUGACUUUUGCUUACGGUGUAAGAUUGCCUUUUGAGAGGACGCAUUAAAUGGGUAGGCCUUAAAAAUGCUUAUUUUGUUUACUCUUAAGUCAAAGAAUCUUAUUCUGUUACUUGAAUCGUGGCAUAGUCAAUUGAUUAAAGGGGACCUGCUUUGAAGUUAACCUCGUCUUUAACAUGAGUGAUGCGUGUUUUUUUAUCAUCUGAAAUGAGAAAAACUUUUAACUCUUUUUCCUUUUAAUUUCUCAACUUUCUUUGCAAAGCUAAGAUAGAAAUACAGGAGGACACUCUAUCGUGCAUCUUUUUAGAAUCUGCUUAUAUUUGCAGGCGCGAUUGGGGAAACUCUCUGCAAAAGGCAUCAAAUUUGUUGGAGCUAUAUCUGGAUGGACAGCUACACUUCUUUUCAUGUGGAUGCCAAUUUCGCAAAUGGUACUGUUUUAGAAUUUCUAGUGUAAAUUUUUGUAUACAUCUGACACCAAUUGGUGCUUUCUGUUCAGUGGACAAAUUUCCUAAAUCCUGACAACAUCAAAGGUUUAUCAGCUUUCUCGAUGUUGCUUGCAAUGAUUGGAAAUGGACUUAUGAUCCCACGUGCCCUUUUUAUUCGUGAUUUUAUGUGGUAAUUAUCUUUUUCAAUGUACUUCUUAAACUGCUCUAGUGGUUGAUCUAUCUGUUGAUUUAAUAAUGCGUUUAUAUUACUGAGUUUAAGUAAGAAUAACGGUAAACAAUGACUGCAGGUUCACUGGUUCUACCUGGGCUUCUUUGUUUUAUGGAUAUGGGAAUAUCGUGUGCUUGUAUUGGUAAUUGUUCCUGAUUUAUGGUUAUUCAUAGUUUCUAAUGUUCUUUUGGUAGAAAGUUUGAUCUCUACUAAGAAACGGUAUCUUAUUUGUAAUUCCAGGUUCAACAGUAUCAGCAAGGAAUUUUUCUUAGCAGCAACAGCUGGUUUGAUUUUGUGGAUAGGUUGUUUCUUUUUCCAGUAUUAUCAAUUCUUACAUCAUCCCCCUCUGAAAAACGAUAGUAUCAGCAAAGAAAAUAAUCAGAUCUAAUAUGAACAUUUUCUCACUUUAUGCUUAGGCCGAUUAAGCAUUCGGCAUAACGAGCUCUGAUAUUUUUCUCCUUACAGGAAUGACUCUAUGGAGAGAUGCUGAUGUCUAUGGAUACAACUCACCUUUCACAUCUUUGAAAGAGUUAGUUUCUGGGUCCUAAAUUCAAAAGUCUGAGGUGAUACUGCCAAAAUGCCCAAAAGAUCUUAAAGCGAUCUGGUAUGGCAAUAUCAAGGCAUGAGAUAUAACAAAUCUUCUCCACUGCAAUGUCAAUGCUUGAUUCUUGUUGCGGUCAUUGCAGCUGGGCAAUUGUUAAGGAUAGCUGCUUGGAAAUUUAUUCCUCACAGUGGCAUGAAUAAUGCGUCUGGUAGAAUGUCUGAUGAUAAUGUGUAGUCUAAUUCCAAUUAAUAAUGUAAGUAAAACUCCAUGGCCUAUCUUUACAGUGGCCUGCUUGGUAAUGUACGAGAAUGCAACUCCAGCAACCUCACAUAUAUGCAAUCACACCGUUUUCUGCCUGGUUUGCAGCCCCCCUUUCUUUUGGGCAGCACAAUUGUGUCGAUUAUAAAUCAGGCUGAACUUUAACCAACACAGUUAUUUAGAAAUUUCCAAUUAAGUUUCUUUGGGUAGAAAUUCUUACAUAGUGCUGCAUCUCCUAGGAGUAAUUUUUCGAUGUGACAUACCGUCAUAUUUGUAUUACAAUAGACCAAACUCAUGCAGUUGUUAGGUCUAAUUCCGAUGGGCAGAGGAGAGGUUGGUGCCCCUAGCUCCUUCUCCUCAUCUUUAUGUUUCUUCAUAUUUUUUUCAUUCUAAUGUUUUCUAAUUUUUUUUCUCUUUCACAUGGGUUUUGAUGGCAAGUGGGAGGCACUCUUUUUCCUUGUGUGGAUUUUCCUCUUUUUUGGGGGGUAUUUUCAAUUUCAAAGGCUUUUUUUUUUUAGGAAUUUUUCUAUUAAGAGGGGCGAUAGCAUACUAAACUCACACACACUACACGGAUGCUAGGACUCGAACCCAGGACCUUGCCUGAGGAAGUAAAUACUCCAUACCACUACACUAGUGGAUCCUUUGCAUGUCGAAGGUUUUAAGAGGCCUAAGCUUGUACAUCUUGUUUUCCUUUUUUCAUUGUAUUAUGCUGUUUAGUUAAUGAAUUAAAUUAAUUUACCUAGAUUUACAAAAAGCCUUGCUCAUUUUAGUCUUUUUGCAAAGGGGUAUUGUUUUCAUUAAAGAAAAAGGAACUUCGAGCAUCCACAAUCAUGCUCUCUAAUUUUUAGUUAAAAUUUAGCUAAAAACACUAGAAAGCUAUUUUAGGAGCUCUCUAUAAAAUUUCAACUCCAA